GUGCCAGCAGCCGCGGUAAUACGUAGGUCCCGAGCGUUGUCCGGAUUUAUUGGGCGUAAAGGGAGCGCAGGCGGUCAGGAAAGUCUGGAGUAAAAGGCUAUGGCUCAACCAUAGUGUGCUCUGGAAACUGUCUGACUUGAGUGCAGAAGGGGAGAGUGGAAUUCCAUGUGUAGCGGUGAAAUGCGUAGAUAUAUGGAGGAACACCAGUGGCGAAAGCGGCUCUCUGGUCUGUCACUGACGCUGAGGCUCGAAAGCGUGGG
This 260-nucleotide ribosomal RNA is filed under the name uncultured Streptococcaceae bacterium. Its description in RNAcentral is "partial 16S ribosomal RNA". It matches the Rfam family "Bacterial small subunit ribosomal RNA", at positions 505 to 765 of the family's 1533-position model. The record is from RNAcentral. Lineage: Bacteria; Bacillati; Bacillota; Bacilli; Lactobacillales; Streptococcaceae.